This 305-nucleotide ribosomal RNA is filed under the name uncultured bacterium. RNAcentral describes it as "bacterial SSU rRNA". It matches the Rfam family "Bacterial small subunit ribosomal RNA", at positions 338 to 660 of the family's 1533-position model. The record is from RNAcentral.
CCUACGGGAGGCAGCAGUGGGGGAUAUUGCACAAUGGGGGAAACCCUGAUGCAGCGACGCCGCGUGGGUGAAGAAGCGCCUCGGCGCGUAAAGCCCUGUCAGCAGGGAAGAAAAUGACGGUACCUGAAGAAGAAGCCCCGGCUAACUACGUGCCAGCAGCCGCGGUAAUACGAAGGGUGCAAGCGUUGUUCGGAUUUACUGGGCGUAAAGCGUCCGUAGGUGGUUUGUUAAGUCAGGGGUGAAAUCCCGGGGCCCAACCCCGAAACUGCCUUUGAUACUGGCGAACUGGAGCGUGAUAGAGGAAG